Non-coding RNA from Aedes albopictus (Asian tiger mosquito), 73 nucleotides. The record is from Rfam. Lineage: Eukaryota; Metazoa; Arthropoda; Insecta; Diptera; Culicidae.
UUUUCUGUGGCUUAGUUGGUUAAAGCGCCGAUCUAGCGACACGAAGUCGUGGGAUUGAAUCCCACUAAAACAA